AAAAACAUAAAUGCGGAGGAAAUAGAACUAUAUUGCAAGUACAUCGCACCUGCUCGUAAACGUCAAUUUGAAUUGAAAGUUUUGGCUGAAGCGGUAUUCAAAAAUAACAAAAAGAGCUACCAGGAAAGCAUUUCCAAGUGGUUCGUCGACUGCCGCUUGUCGACUGAGCAGCAAGGUCCUUUCCGUUCCAUUUUCGAAGCCAAUGUCAAAUCACAAGGCGAAACGAUUUUGUACUCGGCUCCGGUCAAGAAAUUCGAUCGUCAUGGCUACAAAGAACGUGAACGCUACUUGGCACUUACCAAAUCGGCCGUCUAUUUGCUGGAUGCGAAGGAUUGCAAGAUCAAGCACCGCUUGACAUUCAACCGAUCACUAUUUCUGAGAGAAGACAAGCAAAGGACUCGAAACAAGUGCCGUGAUUUGGUCAAGUAUAUUUACAAGUUACAAUCAAUAAUCGUGAUUCGGAAUUCCAGCAGCUAGUCUCGUCAACCUGGUAUACAUAUAUGAUAAUAGCACAUAAAAUCCUAAACAUAUUUUGGUUAGAUUGAUUGUUUAUAUCAAGGGGGAAAUUAUUGUAUAUGUUAUGUUGAAUUGAUGUGCAUUUCGAAGUCGAUAACAUGGAACCCUUAUCAAUUAA
Long non-coding RNA from Daphnia pulicaria, 634 nucleotides. RefSeq lists it as uncharacterized. The record is from RefSeq and is a predicted model, not a curated record. NCBI's taxonomy places the organism in Eukaryota, Metazoa, Arthropoda, Branchiopoda, Diplostraca, Daphniidae. The transcript has 3 exons.